ACAGACUGAUGGAGCAUUGGACAGAUGGAUGGAGAGACAGGUGCAUAGACAUUCUGCAUGGACCAAUGUGCUGAAGGACAUCUGAGAGGAUGGACAGAUGAACAGAGGAUGGACCAGUGUCCUGAUGGGAAGAAGGAUGUGUGGAUGGAUGGAAACACUCCAGGCCCAGGGCCUGUGUGCUCUGCAUCCCUAGGGAGGGGCCAGCAGAUCAGGAGCCCCAACCUACACUUCCCAGAAGCUGUGGGUCCUCGGCCAGGAGCACUCAGUUCACAGCAGCCACAGGAAUCCUGGGCAGAGCAGCUCUUGAGCCCUGGUCUCUGUGCCUCAGCCUGGUCUGCGUACCUCAGAGGGCCCUUGUGUGGAGCCCUGGUCUGUGUGCCUCAGAGGCCCUCGUGGGGAGCCCUGGUCUGUGUGCCCCAGCCCGCCUCAGUGACCCCCAACAAAUUCCCCCCCUAUCAAAAUCACUAUAGCUGUAGUCCCAGCUACUUGGGAGGCUGAGGCAGGAGGAUUGCUUGAGCACAGAAGUUGGAGGCUGUAGUGAGCCAUGAUCUCGCCACUGCACUCAGCCUGGGUAACAAAACAAGACCCUAUUCAAAAACAGUAAAUAAAUGAAAGAAAACCCACUGCCACAUUCCUUAUGCUAAUAAGGCUAGCCAGCCCUUAAUGUGUGUGCAGAUGAGAUCUUACUCAAACUCAUUCACACAGAAGUACAGGCAUGUGUCACCUAACAACCAGGAUACGACAGGGAUACUUCCAAGAGAUGUGUUGUCAGGCAAUUUCAUCAUUGUGCAGACAUCAUAGAGAGCACGGACGUAAAUCUAAGUGGCAGAACCUACAGCACACCUAGGCUAUGUGGGAGAGCCUGGGCUCCUGGGCUACAAACCUGUGCAGCAUGUAGCAACUGCGACACCGUGGAAUUAUGUGUGUAGCUAAUCAUAGAAAGGGUACAGUAAAAAUACGGUAUAAAAGAUGUUUUAAAAUGACACAGGUGUAUAGAGCACUUCCCGUGAAUGGAGCUUGCGGGACUGGAGUCGCUGUGGGAGAGUCAGUGUGUGGUGAGUGUGAGGGCCCAGGGCAUUACUGUCCACUCGUAUGUGACUGGCAGUGUAAUAGGUGUGUUCACACCAGCGUCACCACAAACGAGUGAUAACGUGUUGCACUGUGACAUUACACGCCGCAACCUCACUAGGCAACGGGAAUUUUCAGCUGCUUUGUAGUCUUAUGGGACCACCGCUGGAUAUACAGCCUGUCAUUGACAAACUUCGUUAUACAAUGCAUGACUGUAUUCUAAAAUAAAUCACUCAGGCCAUAGCACCACUCUCCUCCACUCUGCUGCCUCCAGAGUGUGUAAGUACAGACAGGUCACUUGGCCAGUGCGGGCCUCAGAUUCCCUGUGAAACACGAGGCCGAGUCAGACGCACUCCAGGGUCUCUUGGCCCUGAAAGUCUGUGACUUUGUGGCAUCUCUGCCCUAGGCUGUGGGGUGAGACCGGGCCAGGUCGCCAGGCUCCUCACACUGCGGGAGGGCCCUUCGUCCAAGCCCAGCGGCUCCUGCAGAACCUGAGAGCUGUGCCAGGCGCACCUGGGAGAGCAAAUCAGCCAGACUCUAAAGUGGGGUCCAGAGCCAUCUCCCUCUGAAAGAGCUGAUGACGUGGUUUGGAUCUGUGUCCCCCCGGCGUGUCAUGUCGAAUUGUAACCCUCAGCGUUGGAGGUGGCGCCUGGUGGGAAGCGACUAGAUCACGGGGGCGGUUUUCCCAUGACUGGUUGAGCACCAUCCGCCUUGGUGAGUCCUCACGAGCUCGGCCAUUUACAAGUGGGUAGCACCUCCCGCCUCACUCUCUUGCUGCUGCGCUGGCCGUGUGGCAUGCCUGCUCCCCCUUAGCCUUCUGCCAUGAUUGUAAGUUUCUUGAGGCCUCCUCAGAAGCUGAGCACAUGCCAGCAUCAAGCUUCCUGUACAGCCUGAGGAACCGUGAGCCCAUUACUUUGCUUUUCUUUAUCAAUUACCCAGCCUUGGGUACUUUAUAGCAGUGCAGGAAAGGACUAAUACAGCCAGGGAUGGUGACCCGCAAGGCCUGGAACCAGACCCCAAAUGUGGCCUUCCCCAGCUCUUAGCGCCUUCCAAGUCUAAGCUGACAGCUCGGCAUUGUUGCAGGUGGAAACACACCUGGAUUUUCUGAACAGCUGGGGAGGGAACAGCUCCUCUUGGAGAGGAAUUGUCUUCGUUUAGGAAAAAUGCUUUUAAAGGGCACAUUUCAACCCGGGGCCAAGGCCACAAAAGAGACGUUAGAAACGAACAAAAUUUAGAGGAAAGAGCAGAGGUCAGAGUGAGGGGUUGAGGCAGGAGGUCCCUGAGUGAAGCUCCCUUCCACCCCUGCAUCCCCCACACUUUCAGGGGGCGGCCAAAGGAGUUGUGUGUCAUGUUCCAUUUGAUGCUGUUUGCACUACGGUGAUCUCAGCGCCCCCAUCCCACCCCAAACGUCUGCGGUGUCUCCCACACCCAGGUGCCUUGUGCCUGUGGAUUGCACUACGGUGAUCUCAGCGCCCCCAUCCCACCCCAGACGUCUGCGGUGUCUCCCACACCCAGGUGCCUUGUGCCUGUGGAUUGCACUACGGUGAUCUCAGCGCCCCCAUCCCACCCCAAACGUCUGCGGUGUCUCCCACACCCAGGUGCCUUGUGCCUGUGGAUUGCACUACGGUGAUCUCAGCGCCCCCAUCCCACCCCAGACGUCUGCGGUGUCUCCCACACCCAGGUGCCUUGUGCCUGUGGAUUGCACUACGGUGAUCUCAGCGCCCCCAUCCCACCCCAGACGUCUGCGGUGUCUCCGACACCCAGGUGCCUUGUGCCUGUGGAUUGCACUACGGUGAUCUCAGCGCCCCCAUCCCACCCCAAACGUCUGCGGUGUCUCCGACACCCAGGUGCCUUGUGCCUGUGGAUUGCACUACGGUGAUCUCAGCGCCCCCAUCCCACCCCAAACGUCUGCGGUGUCUCCGACACCCAGGUGCCUUGUGCCUGUGGAUUGCACUACGGUGAUCUCAGCGCCCCCAUCCCACCCCAGACGUCUGCGGUGUCUCUGACACCCAGGUGCCUUGUGCCUGUGGAUUGCACUACGGUGAUCUCAGCGCCCCCAUCCCACCCCAAACGUCUGCGGUGUCUCCGACACCCAGGUGCCUUGUGCCUGUGGAUUGCACUACGGUGAUCUCAGCGCCCCCAUCCCACCCCAAACGUCUGCGGUGUCUCCCACACCCAGGUGCCUUGUGCCUGUGGAUUGCACUACGGUGAUCUCAGCGCCCCCAUCCCACCCCAGACGUCUGCGGUGUCUCUGACACCCAGGUGCCUUGUGCCUGUGGAUUGCACUACGGUGAUCUCAGCGCCCCCAUCCCACCCCAGACGUCUGCGGUGUCUCUGACACCCAGGUGCUUUGUGCCUAUGGAUCUGGGGGGAAUGGGGGCUGAAUGUCACAUCUGAGUCUCUGCGGUUCAGAAACGUGUGCAAGCACACGUACCGACCUCAACACCGAAUUAACUCAGCCAAAGCAGGCCUCAGAGCCACAGGUGAUAUUACAGAAACCUUAGCAAGGGCUUCGGCCUUCCCCAGGACACAGACAUGACCUGGCACUUUUAGUGCAAUGAGGAGCGGGAGACCACAGGCAGAGUGAGCAACCAUCCAGGUUUUCCAGGACCAACGGGUUUCACAAGAUGCGGGACUUUCAGGGCUAAAACCAGGAAAGCUCCCAGCAAACUGGGGAGAGUUGAUCCCUGUAAACAGCCACCACCUGGGUCAGAUGGACCCCAGCUGGAGGCCAGACUGGGUCUUUACACACUUGCCCUGAGUUAGCGCUCACAUUAAAGGAAUAAUGGGGGGUGGACACCAUUCCCUCCACUUCACAGAGGAGGAAACUGAGGCUGAGAGAAGUCCGUCAACUUGCACAGGACCACACUGCCAGCGAGUGACAGAGCGAGGAUUUGAGCCCAAGGCCCGUGCUCUUAAGCUGUGUGUUGUCACGUGGUAUCCGGAGGAUCCUCGACUUGUCAAAAACUGAAAUCAACACCCUCAACAGCCUUACUCUGUGCCCCGGUCCAGGGCCUGGCCCAGGAGUCCCCUUGCUUUCUGUAGCCCUCUCUGCAUUCCUACCAAUGCCUUUGCCUGCCUAGGACCACCCCCUGCCUGUAGGUCGCAGUAGCCCUCUGCCACCCUUCCCACGUAUCAGCCUGGCAGAGCCCUGUGGAAUUUCAUCACACAAGCCCCUCUGGAUUCAGAAGAAUCACAAAUGCUGCCUGGUUGCUGUUCUCAGCCCCCUCCCCACUGUGUCCCUGUCCCAAACACCCCCUGACCCUCCGCCAAGCCUGCAGGCAGCACCUCCCUCGUCUGCUCCUCCCUCAGGAAACAGCAUUUCCCGCCCAGCCUGGGGAUUUCCAAGCUGGAAAUUCAAACAGCUCAGCACGGAAUAGGCUCCAACAGGGUCAGGUAACGGAAAUUACAAGAUGGUAAAUUAUUCCAGGGAAAGGGCAAUUUUCCUCAUAUGCUGCCUGACUCUGAGAACACUGUGAUCAUGGUGGAAAUUGGAGGGUCAGAGCUGGUGUCUAGGGAAAGAGAAAGGAAGGCACUGUGCCCGCCGCUGUCAGUGAAGCCCCAGGUGUGAGAGAGGGUGUGAGGUCAAUCCCAGGCUGGGCCCACAGCCAGGCACGUCCUCGCUAGAGGCCCAGGACCUGCCACCAGCCACAGCUGAAGAGGCUGGGGCGUCAAGGCAGAAAGCCAACAUCCCGGAGUCAUACAAGUGCACGUUCUCUUCCCAGCUCUGGCACAUACCAGCUGUGUGACCUUAGGUAAGUAACUUGACCUCUCUGAGCCUCCUGGACACAGCAGUAGUGAGGGCUACAUGAAAUAACGUGGGGCACAUGGUCAGAAUGGUGCAGCAGUAAAUGGCAGCUGCCCACUCCCGUGAUCAGAGGGCUCUGGGUGCGAGCUGCAGCAGGGCGUGGUGGAAACUGCCAUGAGAUGCAGGACCCUCCAAUUAUCUAGGGGGCCAGGCCCAUCUCAGAGGAGCAGCUCCAGAGGUGAGCGCACACCACUGCUAAUUCUGCAGAGGGUCCGGUCUGACUCCUACCUCCCACCCAGCCAAGGCUCUCACCUGUGUACCCUCUCCUGUCUCUGAGGCUUCCAGGUGAUGGAAGUUUAUCCUUUCCCUUGCCUAUUUGUGUUAUGUUGUGGUUUUAUGAUUGCUUUUUAGCCCGUUUUAUGGAAAUCUUUCUAAGAUGUACUAGGAGCACCUCCUUUUUCCAGAUCAACGUAGAAGUGUCUUGUAAACUUCGAUGACUCGGUGCUGUGGAAGUAAGGAGACCUCUUUGUCCCCACACUGCCUGACCGCGGCGUGUUGGAGCUGCCUCCUUCUCCAGCCCCAGACAGCCCUCCCAGCUUCCUCUUGAAUCUGCAGCCGGUUACCCCUGGGGAGACCAAGCCUUGCUGGUGGAGGGGAGAUAAACAAGCUCACCAAAUCAUUAUUCUUAAUUUGCAGGAAGGCCAAAGCUCCCUCUGAGCCGAGCUCUAAAGACAUUUUUUACUGUUUAGAAGCCUUUGAUUCCUUUACUUCCCAGCAACUGGCUGAGUUCCCAGGGCUGAAGUUGCCUUGAAGUUUGACUGCUGAAUAAGAAAAAGAGUUUUCCUCUGUUUUGUUGUUAAUCCAGAGUUUGAGCUGGGAGCAUAAAGAUUUCAAACAUACCAAAUAGGAUUUCUUCAACUAGAUUGUUUUGGAAAAUACAAAUAUGAGAUCUGAGAAGGACAGAUACAAAAGAAAAAGAAGUCUCAGUUCCAGGCUAAGGUGGACGGAAAGGGGGUGCCCUAAGGAGGCUCGAACCUGAGACAGUCUGAACCAGAAAAACCUCCCCUAGAGUUUGGGGGCUGGCGUGCAGCUGCUCACAUUUUUAUCUUGCUAAAUUAAGAAUAUAAAAUAAGAACCAUUGGAUAAGAUCACCCUUAUUUUAGAAAAGAGAGGGGAAAAGUCAACCAAAAAAGCUGUUUUUUUUUAAAUUAAAGGGAUUUAACUUUAUGAAAAA
Long non-coding RNA from Homo sapiens (human), 6050 nucleotides. RefSeq lists it as uncharacterized. The transcript has 2 exons. The record is from RefSeq and is a predicted model, not a curated record. Lineage: Eukaryota; Metazoa; Chordata; Mammalia; Primates; Hominidae.